UUUCAAAACAGACAAGGGAAAAAGAGAAACAUCAGAAAGUCUGAUUAAAGUAGAAGCAUCAUAUUUCUAUCAACGUAUCCACUGUGCUUGGACUCUGUAAUAUUCACCGGCAGGAAAACCCAAGGGAAUGACUACUAUGACAUCUGAUGGUACAAGAACUAACAAUGAACAGAACAAAGGGGUGUGUGAUCCAGUCCUUGCUCUGUUCACUGAGCUCUGCCCAGCGGCUGGUUGCUUUCACACGAGGAAAACCUUUUUUUCUGCUCUCUUGGCACAAAUUGCUGGAGCUGAAUGUACCAGGGUGGGUGAAGGGGAGGAUGAGGUCAGAGAGGUAACAGGGCCAGGCAAGCCAUUGUCAGGAUUUUGGAUUUUACUGUGUACGGAAUGUGUUUGCCAGAACAAUGCGGGAGUUGCAGAGAGAGGUGUCCUGUGUUUGUUCCCAGUCUUCCUUCACUCACCUGCACCUGCUCCUGCCCUGCUUCGGCCAACAUGUUCUAUGCAGCUGCUCACUGAUGUCACUUAGAGGAAGGCAGGGGCACAAGAUGGGAGGACCCAGAGCUCCGGGUUCUUAAUGAAUUUUUGCCACCUUCAAUGAGAAAGACUGAAACAAAAAACUCAGAAGAAAGAAAGAGACUGAGAUAGCAAAUAUGACAAACUGUUAAAAAUUCAUGAAUCUGUUAUGGAAUACUAUGCAGCCAUAAAAAAGGAUGAGUUCCUGUCCUUUGCAAGGACGUGUAUGAAGCUGGAAACCAUCAUUCUGAGCAAACUAAAACAGGAACAGAAAACCAAACACCACAUGUUCUCACUCAUAAGUGGGAGUUGAACAAUGAGAACACAUGGACACGGCGGGGUGGUGGGAACAUCACACACCGGGGCCUGUCAGAGGGGAGGGGGCUAGGGGAGAGAUAGCAUUAGGAGAAAUACCUAAUGUAGAUGAUGGGUUGAUGGGUGCAGCAAACCACCAUGGCAUGUGUAUACCUAUGUAACAAACCUGCAUGUUCUGCACAUGUAUCCCAGAACUUAAAGUAUAAUAAUAAAAAGAGAGAUUAAAAAAAUUGGUGAAUCUGGGCAAAAUGUACACAGGAUUUUUCUGUACUGUUCUUGCAACUUUUCUACAGAUUUGAAAUGUUACAAAAUAAAAGGUAUUUUUAGAAAAAGAG
RNAcentral lists this long non-coding RNA (1160 nucleotides) under Homo sapiens (human). Its description in RNAcentral is "HSALNT0007652". Lineage: Eukaryota; Metazoa; Chordata; Mammalia; Primates; Hominidae. The record is from RNAcentral.